Molecule: ribosomal RNA, 465 nt
Filed under: Vreelandella stevensii
Lineage: Bacteria; Pseudomonadati; Pseudomonadota; Gammaproteobacteria; Oceanospirillales; Halomonadaceae
Description: partial 16S ribosomal RNA
Rfam family: Bacterial small subunit ribosomal RNA
Source: RNAcentral
CCUACGGGAGGCAGCAGUGGGGAAUAUUGGACAAUGGGGGGAACCCUGAUCCAGCCAUGCCGCGUGUGUGAAGAAGGCCCUCGGGUUGUAAAGCACUUUCAGUGAGGAAGAACGCCUGGUGGUUAAUACCCAUCAGGAAAGACAUCACUCACAGAAGAAGCACCGGCUAACUCCGUGCCAGCAGCCGCGGUAAUACGGAGGGUGCGAGCGUUAAUCGGAAUUACUGGGCGUAAAGCGCGCGUAGGUGGCUUGAUAAGCCGGUUGUGAAAGCCCCGGGCUCAACCUGGGAACGGCAUCCGGAACUGUCAAGCUAGAGUGAAGGAGAGGAAGGUAGAAUUCCCGGUGUAGCGGUGAAAUGCGUAGAGAUCGGGAGGAAUACCAGUGGCGAAGGCGGCCUUCUGGACUGACACUGACACUGAGGUGCGAAAGCGUGGGUAGCAAACAGGAUUAGAUACCCUUGUAGUC